Molecule: long non-coding RNA, 792 nt
Filed under: Oreochromis niloticus (Nile tilapia)
Lineage: Eukaryota; Metazoa; Chordata; Actinopteri; Cichliformes; Cichlidae
Description: lncRNA (ENSONIG00000037962.1)
Source: RNAcentral
UGCGAAUCAAUCACUAACGACCUGAUGCCCAGUGAUUUGUUGCUGUACAGUCGUACUUACAGUAAGGCAUCUUAAUUUGGCUAAAGUCUCCUGAUAAUACCAAAUGUGGGACAAACCCUCUUUCAUUCCGCUCUUCAGGAAAGUCACAUGAUAGCAAUCCAAAAGGGAAUGUUCAACCCAAAGCAAUUACCGGGGAAACAUUGGGAAAACCUGAAAUCAGUUACAUUAGCGGCACCUGUUCUUACUUGGGGGUCUCCAGCACUCACCAAAGCCGCGGCACAGCUUAUCUACAGGAAUCUGGAGCGGGUGGAAUCCAAGAGGGAACUGGAGAUUUUUCAGGACCAAAGCGGGGCCGGAGCGCUACUUGCUGAACUCUGGUUGGAGUAUAAGGGCAGAUCAGGGCCAUAAGAAUAAAAAAUAACAAGGUCUGGGGCUGUGCGUGUGCAUGUGUUUUGCACUGGCUGCAUAGGCUGGAUGCUCUGGCUGCACUGGGCUGGCUUCUUGUGUGGUCCCCCGGCAAACUUUAUGAUUUAUUCAGCUAAAGGCAGAGGAGCACGACCCCCAGUGACCACAGAGAGAGAGCUGCACGGAUUACGGGGAAAGGAGAAGACAGACAGAAAUCUACAUUUAACUGGUAUGUUUCGAACUGUUGUCUUACAACAAAUGAUGGGUUAUGUAUGUGUGUUGUUGUUCUUUUAUCACACAUUCUGCAAGCCUUCUCCAUCCCAGCCCCCCCCCAUGUCCUGUAGCCAGUGGGAGAUUUCACAGGCAUUAUUGAAAUGUGGACACUGA